This 305-nucleotide long non-coding RNA is filed under the name Solanum tuberosum (potato). RNAcentral describes it as "long non-coding RNA (STUB_LNC004544)". Lineage: Eukaryota; Viridiplantae; Streptophyta; Magnoliopsida; Solanales; Solanaceae. The record is from RNAcentral.
UUCUUAUUUCAUCUACCUUGUGUUUUAAGAUUAAUGUUUUUAUGUUGAGAAAUUGUUAUGGUUCAAGCCAAAUACAAUUAAUUGAGAGUCAGUUGUUGUACUAGCAUCUUGUAAUGAUCGUUGCACACUAGUGAAAGUGUGGAGUAUUGUUUGACUCUGGUAUCAAUGCCUUGUGUGAUGAGCUUACUGUGAACCGUGCAUGAUAACACCUAGAAUUUUCCCCGUUGGUCUGGUUGACUAAGUGAGGCUAUCUCUUUAUAGGAUCUUAGUCAACUUCGAAGAGUGUGAGCCAAUUUGACAUAUAC